GAUGAACGCUGGCGGCGUGCCUAAUACAUGCAAGUCGAGCGAACAGAUAAGGAGCUUGCUCCUUUGACGUUAGCGGCGGACGGGUGAGUAACACGUGGGUAACCUACCUAUAAGACUGGAAUAACUCCGGGAAACCGGGGCUAAUGCCGGAUAACAUUUAGAACCGCAGGGUUCUAAAGUGAAAGAUGGUUUUGCUAUCACUUAUAGAUGGACCCGCGCCGUAUUAGCUAGUUGGUAAGGUAACGGCUUACCAAGGCAACGAUCCGUAGCCGACCUGAGAGGGUGAUCGGCCACACUGGAACUGAGACACGGUCCAGACUCCUACGGGAGGCAGCAGUGGGGAAUCUUCCGCAAUGGGCGAAAGCCUGACGGAGCCACGCCGCGUGAGUGAUGAAGGUCUUCGGAUCGUAAAGCUCUGUUAUUAGGAAAGAACAAAUGUGUAUGUAACUGUGCACGUCUUGACGGUACCUAAUCAGAAAGCCCCGGCUAACUUCGUG
Molecule: ribosomal RNA, 497 nt
Filed under: uncultured bacterium
Lineage: Bacteria
Description: partial 16S ribosomal RNA
Rfam family: Bacterial small subunit ribosomal RNA
Source: RNAcentral